GCGCAUGCGCCGGGACCAGCUUCUGGUACUUUCGGCAAGUCUGCUGACGUAUCCUCUCAGUGAGCGUCCGGACGUCGGAUGUGGAGGUUGUGGGAUUCCUUCUUCGAGAAUAGGCACGAAAAGCCCCUUUUCAUCCUACAUUCCUAAAGGAAGGCGUCUGUUGGACCUUUCUUUCAGUCGUGAGGGAGGCGUCCACAGCCUGCGGAAGUCCUGAGUGGAGGCUUGCGGGAUCUUUUUCUGAGAAAGCGCAGGGUAAAGCCGUAGGUGAAGAUGUCCAACUAUGUGAACGACAUGUGGCCCGGCUCGCCGCAGAAGGAUUCGCCGUCGACCUCGCGGUCGGGCGAGUCCAGCCGGCUGUCGUCGCGAUCUAGGAGCCGCUCUUUUUCCAGAAGCUCUCGGUCCCAUUCCCGUGUUUCCAGUCGGUUUUCCAGGAGCCGGAGUCGGAGUUGGAGGAGCCGGUCAAGGUCCCGUUCCAGAAGGCGCCACCAGCGGAAGUACAGGCGCUACUCACGGUCAUACUCGCGGAGCCGGUCGCGAUCCGGCAGCCGCCGGUACCGAGAGAGGCGCUACGGGCUGUCUGGGAGAUAUUACCGGUCUCCUUCGCGGUACCGGUACCGGUCCCGGUCCCGUUCCCGUAGCAGGUCGCGCUCCCGGGGAAGGUCGUACUACGGAAGGGCGUACGCGAUCGCGCGGGGGCGGCGCUACUACGGUUUCGGUCGCACCGUGUACCCAGAGGAUUACGGCAGAUGGAGGGACAGAUCCAGGACAAGGUCGCGGAGCAGAACCCCCUUUCGCUUAAGUGAAAAAGAUCGAAUGGAGCUGUUAGAAAUAGCAAAAGCUAAUGCAGCGAAAGCUUUAGGAACAACUAACAUUGAAUUGCCAGCUAGCCUCAGAACUGUUCCUGUAGCCAAAGAAACAAGCCGUGGAACAGGUUUAUCAAGUAAUGGUGCAAAGUCUGAAAAAUCAUGAAUGUGGUCUGCAGACAUUGAUGAAGAAAAUCUGUUGCUGUCGGAAAAGGUAAUAGAAGAUGGAACUAGAAAUCCCAAUGAAAAAUCUUCCCAGCAAAGAAGCAUAGCUUUUAGCUCUAAUAAUUCUGUAGCAAAGCCAAUACAAAAACCAGCUAAAGCUGCCACAGAAGAGACAUCUUCAAGAUUACCAAAAAUAGAUCAGAAAAAAAGUCCAUAUGGACUCUGGAUACCUGUCUAAAAGGAGAAAAACUAAUGGCUAAGUUUGCAUGAAAACUGCACUUUACUCCAAGUUAGUGUUUCUAGCAUUAUCUCAGCCCUUUGAGCCAUUUAAGGGUAAUCCUGCAUUUAAAAACCAACACAAAAAGAUGUAAAUACUUAAUACUCAAAUAUUAACCUUUUAGGUUUCUCUUGCAGAUAUGAGAUAGCACAAAUGGACCAAAGGUUAUGCACAGGUGGGAGUCUUUUGUAUAAGUUGUAAAUACUAUUGCUUAUGUAAAAGUGAAAUUUUUUAGACACAGUAUUGAACUGUAUUGCUGUUUUCUAUAUUUAAUAAAUUUCUUGUUUUCAUACUUAAAA
RNA transcript from Sapajus apella (tufted capuchin), 1544 nucleotides. It is a transcript of the gene named arginine and serine rich protein 1, with no coding region annotated. The transcript has 6 exons. Lineage: Eukaryota; Metazoa; Chordata; Mammalia; Primates; Cebidae. The record is from RefSeq and is a predicted model, not a curated record.